RNAcentral lists this ribosomal RNA (414 nucleotides) under uncultured bacterium. Its description in RNAcentral is "bacterial SSU rRNA". It matches the Rfam family "Bacterial small subunit ribosomal RNA", at positions 355 to 786 of the family's 1533-position model. The record is from RNAcentral.
UCGGGAAUAUUGCGCAAUGGAGGAAACUCUGACGCAGUGACGCCGCGUGCAGGAAGAAGGUUUUCGGAUUGUAAACUGCUUUAGACAGGGAAGAACAAAGACAGUACCUGUAGAAUAAGCUCCGGCUAACUACGUGCCAGCAGCCGCGGUAAUACGUAGGGAGCAAGCGUUAUCCGGAUUUAUUGGGUGUAAAGGGUGCGUAGACGGAGAAGCAAGUUAGUUGUGAAAUCCCUCGGCUUAACUGAGGAACUGCAACUAAACUACUUCCCUUGAGUGCUGGAGAGGAAAGUGGAAUUCCUAGUGUAGCGGUGAAAUGCGUAGAUAUUAGGAGGAACACCAGUGGCGAAGGCGACUUUCUGGACAGUAACUGACGUUGAGGCACGAAAGUGUGGGGAGCAAACAGGAUUAGAUACC